CAUCAUGGAUGCUUAUAAAAAUAUAUUUUAAAUAAAAUUAUAUGUGUGAUCCAGUUAUUACAUACAAAGCAAGUCUAGAUUUAAAUUUGAAGAAGAUCAAAGUGACAAGAAGAGAGAACAAAUAAGUGUGAUAUGCUAGUUGUUGUCUGGUUGUACAAUCUGAGUAGCCAUACCUACAAUUCUAAACGGAUCCGUAUCUUCCUUACAGCAUCAUUCUAAAUGAUUUGUACUUUCAAAACGGCGCCUCGCCGGAAUCGCUUACAUCGCUGUCGAAAGGGUUGAGAGAGAAGAGGAGAAGAGAGAGAAGAGGAGAAGAGAGAAGAGUUUUUGUGAAAUGAAAAAGAUAUGAAAAGAUUUUUUUAAAAAUAAUUUUCCCUCAACCACUCACAAUGUGACACAUACUGAGUGCUUAACAUUUGCUUAAAAACCUAAAUUAAGCAUCGAUGCUUCAUUUUUAUUCCUACUUUUGCAUUAAAAUAAUUCAGUUUAAUGUUGAGUACUCUUUAAUAAUUCUCUAAGCACCUCCAUUGGAGGUGCCC
This 539-nucleotide long non-coding RNA is filed under the name Capsella rubella. RNAcentral's name for it is "long non-coding RNA (CRUB_LNC001024)". The record is from RNAcentral. Lineage: Eukaryota; Viridiplantae; Streptophyta; Magnoliopsida; Brassicales; Brassicaceae.